RNAcentral lists this ribosomal RNA (397 nucleotides) under uncultured bacterium. Its description in RNAcentral is "partial 16S ribosomal RNA". It matches the Rfam family "Bacterial small subunit ribosomal RNA", at positions 523 to 918 of the family's 1533-position model. The record is from RNAcentral.
AUACGUAGGUGGCAAGCGUUAUCCGGAAUUAUUGGGCGUAAAGCGCGCGCAGGUGGUUCCUUAAGUCUGAUGUGAAAGCCCCCGGCUCAACCGGGGAGGGUCAUUGGAAACUGGGGAACUUGAGUGCAGAAGAGGAUAGUGGAAUUCCAAGUGUAGCGGUGAAAUGCGUAGAGAUUUGGAGGAACACCAGUGGCGAAGGCGACUGUCUGGUCUGUAACUGACACUGAGGCGCGAAAGCGUGGGGAGCAAACAGGAUUAGAUACCCUGGUAGUCCACGCCGUAAACGAUGAGUGCUAAGUGUUGGGGGGUUUCCGCCCCUCAGUGCUGCAGCUAACGCAUUAAGCACUCCGCCUGGGGAGUACGGUCGCAAGACUGAAACUCAAAGGAAUUGACGGGG